CACCGCGGUUAUACGAGAGGCCCAAGUUGAUGAUCAACGGCGUAAAGAGUGGUUAAAGUAAAUACUAAAACUAAAGCCCCACACUCACAAGGCUGUUAUACGCACCCGAGAAGUGGAUGCCCCCCUACGAAAGUGGCUUUAACAUAACUGAACCCACGAAAGCUAUAACACAAA
RNAcentral lists this ribosomal RNA (174 nucleotides) under Radiicephalus kessinger. RNAcentral's name for it is "partial 12S ribosomal RNA". Lineage: Eukaryota; Metazoa; Chordata; Actinopteri; Lampriformes; Radiicephalidae. The record is from RNAcentral.